RNAcentral lists this ribosomal RNA (404 nucleotides) under uncultured bacterium. RNAcentral describes it as "bacterial SSU rRNA". It matches the Rfam family "Bacterial small subunit ribosomal RNA", at positions 362 to 776 of the family's 1533-position model. The record is from RNAcentral.
UAUUACACAAUGGGCGCAAGCCUGAUGCAGCGACGCCGCGUGAGGGAUGGAGGCCUUCGGGUUGUAAACCUCUUUUGUUGGGGAGCAAGCCUUCGGGUGAGUGUACCUUUCGAAUAAGCGCCGGCUAACUACGUGCCAGCAGCCGCGGUAAUAGGUAGUGCGCAAGCGUUAUCCGGAUUUAUUGGGCGUAAAGGGCUCGUAGGCGGCUCGGCGCGUCCGGUGUGAAAGUCCAUCGCUUAACGGUGGAUCUGCGCCGGGUACGGGCGGGCUGGAGUGCGGUAGGGGAGACUGGAAUUCCCGGUGUAACGGUGGAAUGUGUAGAUAUCGGGAAGAACACCGAUGGCGAAGGCAGGUCUCUGGGCCGUCACUGACGCUGAGGAGCGAAAGCGUGGGGAGCGAACAGG